GUCCGGGAGGAUCAACAUGUACUUGGCUACCUGCUGAGCAACUUCUCUAAAGAGGUGCUCGACACGGUGACCACGGUCACCACGGCGCAGGCGCUCUGGACGACGCUGGCGGGCAUGUACUCGUCGCAGUCGCUGAGCCGCAUCAACAACAUCCGUACCUUGCUCAUCAACGCGCGAAAGGGCACCCAGUCCACCGCCGCCUACUUCGCCUCCAUGCAUGGCCUCGCCGAUGAGCUGGCCGCGGCUGGCAAAUCGAUCCAAGAUGACGAGCUCAUCUCGUACAUCCUUCAUGGGCUGGAUUUGGACUACCAGCCCCUGGUCUCGGCCCUCGAUGCCCGUGUCAACCCGGUCUCCCUGAUGAGAUCUUCUCCAUGCUCAGCAACUUUGACCAAUGCAUGGCGCAGUUCCACGGCUCGGGCGGAGGCGGCUUCAAGUCCUCGCUAA
This 444-nucleotide ribosomal RNA is filed under the name Triticum aestivum (bread wheat). Its description in RNAcentral is "partial small subunit ribosomal RNA". The record is from RNAcentral. Lineage: Eukaryota; Viridiplantae; Streptophyta; Magnoliopsida; Poales; Poaceae.